AUACGGAGGGUGCAAGCGUUAUUCGGAAUCACUGGGCGUAAAGGACGCGUAGGCGGGUUGGCAAGUCAGAUGUGAAAUCCUACAGCUUAACUGUAGAACUGCAUUUGAAACUGCUAACCUAGAGUAUGGGAGGGGGAGAUGGAAUUAGUGGUGUAGGGGUAAAAUCCGUAGAUAUCACUAGGAAUACCGGAAGCGAAGGCGAUCUCCUGGAACAUAACUGACGCUAAGGCGUGAAAGCGUGGGGAGCAAACAGGAUUAGAAACCCUUGUAGUCC
Molecule: ribosomal RNA, 274 nt
Filed under: uncultured bacterium
Lineage: Bacteria
Description: partial 16S ribosomal RNA
Rfam family: Bacterial small subunit ribosomal RNA
Source: RNAcentral